RNAcentral lists this ribosomal RNA (446 nucleotides) under uncultured soil bacterium. RNAcentral's name for it is "bacterial SSU rRNA". It matches the Rfam family "Bacterial small subunit ribosomal RNA", at positions 157 to 622 of the family's 1533-position model. The record is from RNAcentral.
CGACAGCUAAUACCGCAUGAUGUCGGGGAGAAUAAAUAUUUCCGACUAAACUUACGGGGUUGAGGGAGGGGGCUGCGGCCCAUCAGGUAGUUGGAGAGGUAAAAGCUCACCAAGCCAAUGACAGGUAGGGGACCUGAGAGGGUGGUCCCCCACACUGGGACUGACAACGGCCCAGACUCCUACGGGAGGCAGCAGUAAGGGAUAUUGCGCAAUGGGCGAAAGCCUGACGCAGCAACGCCGCGUGGAGGAUGAAGGCCUUCGGGUCGUAAACUUCUUUUAGCAGGGACGAGGAAGGACGGUACCUGCGGAAUCAGUCACGGCUAACUACGUGCCAGCAGCCGCGGUAAAACGUAGGUGGCAAGCGUUAUCCGGAUUUACUGGGCGUAAAGGGUGUGCAGGCGGGGUUGCAAGUGGUGUAUGAAAUCUCCCGGCUUAACCGGGAGGGG